CUGGAAUUUGCUUUAAAAACAAAUCUGGGGGGAAAACCCAGCAUUAUUCAAUAUUUAUUUGCAGUAUCUAAUACAGUAACCACUAAUCAUGUACGGAUAGCUACUGAAUACUUGAAAUGAGCAUUUAAACUUCAAUAGCCACAUGAGGCUAGUGGCUACUGUAUUGGACAGCUCAGCGCUAGAUGAUGCAAGAUGUGCAAAAUAUUGGUAACUGUCAAAGCUGGGUGUUAAGGACAUGAGAAUUCAUUAUACAGUCAGCCCUCUGUAUCUGUUGGCUACUCGACCACAGAUCAAAAAUAUGUGGAAAAAAGAUGAAUGCUUGUGUCUGUACUGAACAUGUAGACCUUCCCCCUUGUCAUUAUUCCUUAAACAAUACAGCAUAACUAUUUAUGGCCCGGCACAGUGGCUCACACCAGUAAUCCCAGCACUUUGGAAAGCUGGGGCAGGAGGAUGCCUUGAAGCCAGGAGUUUGAGACUAGCCUGGGCAAUAAAGCAGCACCCUGUCUCUACAAAAAUAUGUAUCUAUUUUAAAUUAUCCAGGCGUGGUGGCGCAUGCCUGUGGUCCCAGCUACUAGGGAGGCUGAGGUGGGAGGAUUACUUGAGUCCAGGAGUUUCAGGCUGCAGUGAGCUAUGAUCACACCACUGUACUCCAGCCUGAGCAACAGAAUGAGACCCCAUCUCUUAAAAAAAAAACAAAAAAAAAACAAACCAACCACUUACAUAACACUUAUUGUACUAGGUACUGUAAGUAAUCUAGUGAUGACUUAAAGUAAAUGGGAGGGAAAAAAUAGCAUCUAUGGGAGGAUGUGUGUAGGUUCUAUGCAAAUACAAUGCUAUUUUAUAUAAGGAAUUUGUGACUGUGGAAUUUGGAAGCCAUGUGGGGGUCCUGGAACCAGUCCCCCAUGGAUAUGAGAGACAACUGUACUAUUCUACUUUUGUGGAGAAUUAAAAAUUUUCAUGAUUAAAAGCUUAAGAAAAAUAAAUGGAGAGUCAAAUAAAGGCAUUUUAAAAUAAAGACCUGAGACAACUUACCCAUCCAAAAAGACCAUCACAGAAGUAACUUAAAAGUACUUCAGGAGAUAGGAACUGGAAGACCCAAAAUGUUAAGUAGAAUGAACAAAGGUAAAAUGGAUAAAAUUAAGCAAACCUUUAUUAUAUAAAAUGGUAAUAAUACCAAAUUCGUGACAUGGAAAAAUAAGCUCAAUCCUAAUACUAAAUAAUAUAUAAAUUGGGAAGGAGGUGAUUGAGUAGUAUGUUCCUUGUAUUCUUCCACUGGGGACUCACAAUAUUGAUUAGGUUUAGACUGUAAGUAUGCAUGAUAAAAUAGCUAGGGUAACAAUUCAAAGGAUGGACAUAGUGAGUUUAACUCACAGUCUAGAAGAGAAAAUGGAAUUAGGUUAAAAAAAAAUCUCAAUUCCAAAGGUAAGAAAAAUAAGGGAAAUGAAACAAAAAAAAUAGGUCAAAUGAAAAGCACAAUGUAAAAUGUAAGAUGGUAAAAAAUGUCUGACUGUAUCAAUAACAGUAAGUGUACAGAUGGGCUAAAUUCUGCAGUUUAAAAACAGACUGUCCUGGUAGAUUAAGAUAAACUAGCUCUAUGUUAUUUCAUUAGAUGCACUAAAAUCCACAACAACACAUAAAAAUUGAGUCUCAAAAAUAAGAAAGAUAUACCAGGUGAAUAUUAACCAAAAUAAAGUUUGUUUGCUAAAUUAAUUUCAUAGAUUUUGAGACAAAAGGCACUAUUAGAGGUAAUGACAUGAGGAUGUAAAGUACCAAUUAGGAAGAUAUAAAAUUCUAGUCUCAUAAAACUUAUAAAGCAGAAGCUAGCACAAUUAAAGGAUAAAUAACACAAAUCAUCACUAUAAGACUUUCAAACACUGCUCAGCAAUAGAAAGAUCAUAUGAAAAAAAGGAUAUGAAGAUUUGAACAACACAAUGAGUAUGCUUAAUCUAGCACACUGAGGGACACUACUGAAUGUAUGGAGUAUACAUAGAUUCUUGAAGCACACAUGAAGUGUUUAUAAAAACUGACCAUACUGUAUGGUGAAUAUACUGUAAAGCCAGUCUUAAACCUUCCAAAUUUGGUAUAUAAAACAUCUCAUGGGCCCCUUAAAUAUAUAUACCUACUAUGUGCCCACAAAAAUUAAAACUUAGAAAAAGAUUUGGUAUACAAACAUGUUCUCUGACAUGUCUUAAUUACAAUGUAACUAAGUUGUAAGUUAAUAACGAGAUUACAUUGAACUAUAUGAAAUGGGUGUUUUGGUAGUUUUAAAAUAUGGUUGAAUAUUAGUGGUUUCAUAUUUUUCAAGCAAACAGAAAAAAGUAACACAUUUGGAAUUCAGAAAACAUCACACUUCCAAAUAACUUAUGCUUUUAUAAAAGAAUUGAAUUAGAAAAUACAUAAUACUAUGGUUAUUGAUUAGUUCUAAGUACCACAACUUGUAGAAUGUAGCUAAACUGGUCCUUAGGAAAAAAAUAAGCUUUAUAUGUUUAUAUUAGAAAAGAAGUGAACUUAAAAAUUAACUUAAGCAGCUGGAACGGGAAGAGCAGAAAAUACGAUGAUGAACUAGAAAACAACAGUAUCACUCAAGCUACAAACUGGUUCUUUGAAAACUACUAGGAAAAAAAUCGGGCAAAAUUCUUCAAAGACAAAAGGAGAAAAACACAACUACAAAUGUUGCAGAGAUUAACAAGACAUGAAUAACUUUAAUCAAAUUCAAAACUUUCAGGAAAUAAAUUGAUUCCUACAGAAAUACAACUUACCAAAACUGUGUAGAAAUUACAAUAAAAAGAACUAGCUGGUGAUGGUUGAGUAACACUGUGAAUGCAAUGAAUGCCACUGACUUGUACAUUUAAAAAUGAUUAAAAUGGCAAAUUUGGCUUUAGGUAUUUUACCACAAUUUAAAAAAUAUAAAAGAAGAAUCUAGACUGAUCCCGUCAGCAAGGUGCUAGGUCUUCCCAGCUUAACUCACUGCCCAGAUAUUCUUUUAAAACAGAAAACAAAACUAGAUUAUUUAGGUUUUCACCAAAAAACACCAUGCUCAAAGGCUUUAUCAGUCAGUUAUGCCACUCAAAGAAGAAAGAAUUCCAGUCUGGAUGAAAAUAUUCCAGAGAUUAGGCAUAUUUAUGAAGACUGGUUACUUAAACUACACUUCAAUGUAAUUUGUCACUAAUGUUUGCAUUAUUUCAGGUAUAGAUAACUUAUCCACUCUAUAGGCAAGAGCUGGGUAUCUGGAAGGUUUUAUUUAAUAUAGCCUUUAUGCAAACCCCAGAAUUGUGUAUGGUUCAAAAUGUCAUGUUUGCCUUUGGUUAUUCUAUUAACAGCAGUUUACAAUAUUACAAGGGAAAAAAAUAUGGUCACUUUUAAACUAAUUUCACAAAACAGUUUAACUUAUCAAAGGGAUUACCGUGAUUAAGAGUAUAAAAGGAAGAAUAUUCUUUGAGAUUGGCAUACUGAUAUCAAACAUGACAAGGCCACUUUAAGUAAACAAAAUUAUAGGCAAAUUUCAACAUAGAUUCAGAUAUUCUAAGGAAAAUAAGUCCAAACAAAAAAUGUCAAUAAAUAGGAAAUAUAGUACAACAGAAUUAAGUUAGGUUUACCAGAGGAAUGCAAGAGAUGCUUGCUAUUAGAAAAUCAAUAUAAUUUGCUUCAUUAAUAGAGCAAAAGAAAAAUUGUAUGAUCAACUCAAAGUGAUAAAAACCAGUAUCACAUAAUGAUUUCAAAAAUAAAUUUUUUCAACCUGAAAACUUUCGGGCUGAAUUUAAUUCAGCCAGCUUAUUUAUUUUUAUUUUUAUUUUUUUUUUGAGACACUCUUGGUCUGUUUCCCAGGCUGGAGUGCAGUGGUGCGAUCUCUGCUCACUGCAACCUCGCCAGGUUCAGGAGAAUCACUUGAACCCGGGAGGCAGAGGUUGCAGUGAGCCGAGAUUGCGCCACUGCACUCUAGCCUGGCGACAGAGGUAGAUUUGGUGCUGUGACUCAGAUCUGGGGACCUCCCUUGGGAGAUCAAUCCCCUAUCCUCCUGCUCUUUGCUCUGUGAGAAAGAUCCACCUAUGACCUCAGGUCCUCAGACCGACCAGCCAAGGAACAUCAAUCCAAUUUUAAAUCAGGUAAGUGGCCUCUUUUUACUCUCUUCUCCAACCUCUCUUACUAUCCCUCAACCUCUUUCUCAUUUCAAUCUUGGCGCCACACUUCAAUCUCUCCCUUCUCUCAAUUUCAGUUCCUUUCCUUUUCUCGUAGACAGGAGACGUGUUUUAUCCAUGGACCCAAAACUCCGGCGCCGGUCAUGGACUCGGGAAGACAGUCUUCCCUUGGUGUUUAAUCAUGCGGGGACGCCUGCCUGAUUAUUCACCCACAUUUCAGAGGUGUCUGACCACGUGGGGAUGCCUGCCUUGGUCCUUCACCCUUAGCGGCAAGUACUGCUUUUCUGGGGGCAAGAACCCCCUGACCCCCUUCUCUCCAUGUGUCUACCCUUCUCCGCUUUUCUGGGGGUCAAGAACCCCUGAACCCUUCUCUCCAUAUCUCUAGCCCUUCUCCACUUUUCUGGGGUGCAAGAACCCCCCGGUCCCUUCUCUCUGUGUCUCUACCCCUUCUCUGCUUUUCUGGAGGACAAGAAGCCCCCACCCCUUCUCUCCAUGUCUCUACUCUCUCUUUUUUCUGGGCUUGCCUCCUUCACUAUGGGCAAGCUUCUGCCCUCCAUUCCCCCUUCUCCCUUAGCCUGUGUUCUUAAAGACCUAAAACCUUCCUCCUUAUAUCAACUCUACUCCCCCCAUAUUUAGACCUCUCACAACACAAACUACUAUUCCUGUGGCAGCUCCUUUAUGUAUCUCUCAGCAAAGACCCACUGGAAUUCCCCUAGGUAAACUUUCACCUUCUCGAUGUUCCUUUACUCUUCAUCUCCAAAGCCCAACUACACACAUCACUGAAACAAUUGGAGCCUUCCAGCUCCAUAUUACAGACAAGCCCUCUAUCAGUAGUGGCAAACUUAAAAAC
Molecule: long non-coding RNA, 4986 nt
Filed under: Homo sapiens (human)
Lineage: Eukaryota; Metazoa; Chordata; Mammalia; Primates; Hominidae
Description: HSALNT0396017
Rfam family: Metazoan signal recognition particle RNA (bases 536-683)
Source: RNAcentral